RNA transcript from Varroa destructor (honeybee mite), 1250 nucleotides. RefSeq lists it as uncharacterized. The record is from RefSeq and is a predicted model, not a curated record. Lineage: Eukaryota; Metazoa; Arthropoda; Arachnida; Mesostigmata; Varroidae.
CAAUACUGGUUAGCUUUCGUAAACGCCCUCAGUGAGGCGUACUAAAAACGAAUUUGCAAAAAAAAACUUUUUCUAUAUAGACGGCAAAAUAUUUUAAUAGUUUGCCUCUCACAACGUAAUCUUUUUUUCUCUAUAGUUUAAAACAGCUUCCCUUUUUUAGACCUCUACAAACAUAUAAUAGGUAAACCUAAAAAACUUCAUUAUAUUUUUAGAGGCGUUAUAGUAGGACCGAGUAAUCAGCGUGCGCAGCUUUGCUAAAGUCAUUAUUCUGCCAUGCAUGUAUGCAUGCAUGCAUGGAGAUAGUUUAAACCAACUCGAAAAGCAGCUCGCUGACCUAUCUGAGAGCCUUCCGGUCCUAACCGCGACAACUGAGAUAGUAAACCAGUAUGUCGUUGCUUUAAAACGAGGACAUCACGCCAAGCUCGUACAGCGACUUGCUGACGAAUGGCUUCCGCAUGGAGGAUCGCACAGUUGUCGGAUUAGCUUCGGUCCAUCGUAUUGCCAUCAUUGAUAUCGCCAAGCAAUUAGCGGUUUUUUGAAGAGUGAAGUUUAGCGACUGAAAAAGAAUAGUGUUAUUGCUGUAUAUCUAAAGGAACUUAGCGACAUUAAACUUCUCACACAAUUUACGAUAAAAAAGAAACAUAAAAUAAAAAAAAAAGUCUACUUUUGUUUGAAUGUUGAACUCCAAUAGUAGUGGACAUUAAUCAAUUCAAUUUAGAAGUUAAUUGCAGUACACAUUUGAUUUCUGGGUAUCAUUAUGUAAGUCGUUUCGUGUAGAUAUUUACUCUUAUGUACUUAAGAAUGAUGAACUGCAGAACCAUCGAAUAUACCAUCAAAAAUCAACUAUGCAGGCCUUUUUCUGAAAAACAAAUUUCUGUAAUUGAUGAUAAAAAAAAAAAAACGGCUUCUCUGAUACGCGGUAUCCAUUUUCUCGCGGCCAUGAGUCGGGAACAUUGUACGUUGAUUUUUAUGAUGUAUUAGUUGCAGUACGUUGCUAUGGCGUCAUGAACAUGUAGCCAUAAACAGUUUUAACUUCAAUGUUGGCAAAUGGUUAUUGUUAGCAUAUCGAAAUGGUGCCGCCUGAAUAUUAAACGUAAAAUACUAAUUUCAAAUACACUGAUCAUUUACGUAAAGAACACUUCGGCAAAAUUUUAAUUCUGUUUGUUAACUUAACCUAAUGCGUGUUAUAAUCUCAUAAUCCGACAACUUUAACUUAACUCAAAAAUAAUAAAAUUCAAGAUUUCAGUCGA